Molecule: ribosomal RNA, 461 nt
Filed under: uncultured bacterium
Lineage: Bacteria
Description: partial 16S ribosomal RNA
Rfam family: Bacterial small subunit ribosomal RNA
Source: RNAcentral
UGGGGAAUAUUGCACAAUGGGCGCAAGCCUGAUGCAGCCAUGCCGCGUGUGUGAAGAAGGCCUUCGGGUUGUAAAGCACUUUCAGCGAGGAGGAAGGUGGUGAGCUUAAUACGCUCAUCAAUUGACGUUACUCGCAGAAGAAGCACCGGCUAACUCCGUGCCAGCAGCCGCGGUAAUACGGAGGGUGCAAGCGUUAAUCGGAAUUACUGGGCGUAAAGCGCACGCAGGCGGUUUGUUAAGUCAGAUGUGAAAUCCCCGGGCUCAACCUGGGAACUGCAUUUGAAACUGGCAAGCUAGAGUCUCGUAGAGGGGGUAGAAUUCCAGGUGUAGCGGUGAAAUGCGUAGAGAUCUGGAGGAAUACCGGUGGCGAAGGCGGCCCCCUGGACGAAGACUGACGCUCAGGUGCGAAAGCGUGGGGAGCAAACAGAUUAGAUACCCUGGUAGUCACGCCUGUAAACGAU